This 499-nucleotide ribosomal RNA is filed under the name uncultured bacterium. RNAcentral's name for it is "partial 16S ribosomal RNA". It matches the Rfam family "Bacterial small subunit ribosomal RNA", at positions 29 to 523 of the family's 1533-position model. The record is from RNAcentral.
AUUGAACGCUGGCGGCAUGCUUUACACAUGCAAGUCGAACGGUAACAGGGUGCUUGCACCGCUGACGAGUGGCGAACGGGUGAGUAAUGCGUCGGAACGUGCCGAGUAGUGGGGGAUAACGCAGCGAAAGCUGUGCUAAUACCGCAUACGCCCUGAGGGGGAAAGCGGGGGAUCGCAAGACCUCGCGCGAUUAGAGCGGCCGAUGCCUGAUUAGCUAGUUGGUGGGGUAAAAGCCAACCAAGGCGACGAUCAGUAGCUGGUCUGAGAGGACGAUCAGCCACACUGGGACUGAGACACGGCCCAGACUCCUACGGGAGGCAGCAGUGGGGAAUUUUGGACAAUGGGGGCAACCCUGAUCCAGCAAUGCCGCGUGAGUGAAGAAGGCCUUCGGGUUGUAAAGCUCUUUUGUCAGGGAAGAAACACCGGCUCUAACGCAGUCCGGGAAUGACGGUACCUGAAGAAUAAGCACCGGCUAACUACGUGCCAGCAGCCGCCGUAA